ACGGGUGAGUAACACGUGGUCAACCUUCCCUACAGUGGGGGAUAACUAGCCGAAAGGUUAGCUAAUACCGCAUAACAUCUACGAGUGGCAUCAUUUGUAGAUCAAAGGAGCAAUCCGCUGAAGGACGGGACCGCGUCCCAUUAGUUAGUUGGUGGGGUAAUGGCCUACCAAGACUCCGAUGGGUAGCUGGUUUGAGAGAGCGACCAGCCACACUGGGACUGAGAAACGGCCCAG
RNAcentral lists this ribosomal RNA (234 nucleotides) under uncultured bacterium. RNAcentral's name for it is "partial 16S ribosomal RNA". It matches the Rfam family "Bacterial small subunit ribosomal RNA", at positions 102 to 334 of the family's 1533-position model. The record is from RNAcentral.